AGGACGCGGAAACAGCAGCGGCAGCAGCAGUAGUCGAGAGACUACACUCAUGUUGAAGAGGAACUGUGAACUUUCUUCUUCCUUCUAAAGGCAUGGAUGGCUUUAUUGUAACAGUUGGUAAUGGCGGCCCCACUGUGGGUGUAAGCAUUUUGACUCCUCACCAACUGAGCUGUGCUAAUCGCACUGUGGAACUGUCAACAACCAGCACCACCGCACUUUCCAGCCAAAAAUAUUUGAUCAAAAGGAAUGAGCUGAUGGCUCAUGGUAGCUGAAGAUUGUUUUCUUCUGACCACCCUGAAGGACGCCUUCACAGAUGUCCUGAUCUAUGGCUGAGCAACAACCAAUUCUCCUCUUCAUAAGACCUGCAGGAUGCUGCUGUGGAUAAACAAGGCUGGAUGUGCUGCAAGCGACCCUGCACACCAGUCGACUAUCUUCUCAUCAAAUCCUUCUUUAAGACAAAGGAACGGGUCCAUCAUGACCGAAGCCAUCCGUCACUUCAACUGCUUCUUCCCAAGAGAUGAAGCAGAUUGCAGGAUCAGGAGAUGGAUAAACUCAGGAAAGAGCUCAGAGCCAGGAUGAGCAUUUUUUGCCCGAGGACCCCCCCAAGUCAAGGAUUGACACUGCCAGUGUGGAAAUGUCAGCAAUGACAAAUAAUAUAGAUAAAGCAAUAUGACAAAAAAACAAAAACAAUGAUGAGUGAUGAUGUCAAACUUUUUAUUGUUAUAUUGUGACAGCUUUCUGUCUCGGAAAAAAACAAACUGCCCAAGCCUUAAGAUGUCAGAGGUGAUUUACUCCCAUUUGAUUCUUCAUGUUUACAUGUGUACGGUUUAUAUUGAUUCACAGAAAGGAUGAGUUACAAGACUCUUUCUCUAUCUGUGUUUCUCUGCUGAGCAUGUGAUGUCAGUCGACCUUUCUCAUGCAUGGCUUCAGACUGAACAGACAGGUGAGAGGAGAUUGUCUUCUAACCAAUAGUGGCUAAAGUUGUGAUAUCAUUCAUAAAAAUUCCCUCCAGUCAUUGCUGAGAUAUUGUUCUCA
Labrus bergylta (ballan wrasse) is the source of this 1035-nucleotide non-coding RNA. The record is from RefSeq and is a predicted model, not a curated record. NCBI's taxonomy places the organism in Eukaryota, Metazoa, Chordata, Actinopteri, Labriformes, Labridae.